CCAGGCUGGAGUGUAAUGGCGUGAUCAUAGCUCACUGCAACCUCUGCCUCCGGGGUUCAAGCAAUUCUCCUGCCUCAGCCUCCUAAGUAGCUGGGAUUACAGGGAGAGGAGCGGAAGACCUUCUGGUGUGGGCUGGGCAGCAAUUCACUUGAAGGAGAAACAGCCCGGGUGUGGAGAGGCGGCUGUCCUUGGAGGGAUCCUUUCUAAGGAGCCGAGAAAUCAACGUAGAGCUUCCUCUAUCUGAUUCUCUAACAACUGCAGACCUUCCAUGAGUCAAGCUUUGUGUCAAAAGGACAAAUUAAAAGGACCUAUAAAAGGCAUCACCAAGCCCAGUGGACAGAUGCCCCAGGCUGCACAUUCUGUCAGUGCUGUUCUGGAAAAGGCCCAAACACAUGCUGAAACAUGGAAGAACUCAUUUAUGUAUCUCAUUUGAUCUCAUCACAACCUGAGACACAGGUCAUAAUAGAGACUUCGGGGCUCAUUUUAUACCCGGUGAACCAGCCAACUUUCAUGCAGUUGAGAAAAGUAUAAGAAGCCAGCCCUCGGGAACCACCAGGAGCCAGGAGCACCCCGGCCCCGCAGGGCCCCAAGUUCAGCCUGCCCCAACCCCUCUGGUGCAGAGUUCCUGGGACACCAUCUGCAGCCCCGCCACGCCCCUCAAAGUCAAGGGCACAGGCGGCUGGGGCUUCCCCGCCCGCCCGACGACUUCCUGCUGCCCCAGCAGCCGCCACAGUCACCACCACGGCCCCUGGACGACCCAGAGCUCCUGCUGCCGCCCCCUGACUUCAUGGAGGCGCCCCAGGACUUCGUGCCCCCUCCCCCUGCUGUCGCCAAGAGGCCUCCUAUGCCCCACCCCCACAAGAGGCACGAAGCAUCAAUGUUCAGAUGCCGCAAAUGAAUAAAAUAAAUGAAUAAAAGUUCAACGUUCUUCCUACGGUAUUUCUAGAAAGAUUACUGGGUCAGUCGAUCUGGAUGUCAAUACUAUAAUUG
Molecule: long non-coding RNA, 990 nt
Filed under: Homo sapiens (human)
Lineage: Eukaryota; Metazoa; Chordata; Mammalia; Primates; Hominidae
Description: HSALNT0356917
Source: RNAcentral